GGAAUAAUAAAAUCAAGGUGCUCAAAUCUCAUACAUGUACCACCAAACCAUUUGCUCUAUACUAUUCUAACAUAUAUAUUUAUAAACAUAUCAACUAAAUUUAUAAUCGAUCUCACCAACUAUUUCCUUUCCGAUUUGUUACCAUUUUUGCUUGUAGAACUAUAAUAAACUAACUUUGUAAACAUAGAACCAUUUUGCUCACAUAAACUUUACAAUUCAAGUCUACUCACACACGCUGUAGGUCAGGAUUGUUGAUAUAAGUGUUAUCUGAUGCUGCUCUCACAAGUUGUAAAGAAUCUGCAACAUAUGCUGGAUUUCAACCAUUGAUAACUAAGUCCCUGACCAGCACCAAAACUAUAUCAUUUGGGUCUACUUGCAUAAGAUGUAGGUCGGAAUUAUUCAUAUAAGUGUUAUUUGGUACUGCUCACACAAGCUAUAGAGUAUCCACAACAUACAUUGGAUCUCAACCAUCGAUAACUAAGUCCCUGAUCGUAAUGGUUUGUCAUCCCUACCUUAGUCAUUUACUAAAUACGUCAGAGCCUUAUUCUAUACUCGUACCAUUUUACUAUAUGUAACAUCAUCAUAUAUACAAUUUCAUAUCAUUCAAUCAUAUGUAUAUAUUUCACAUUUGUUCGAUAACCCGUACUUAUUAAAAAUUGUCUUAUAUUUCAAACAUUGCAAUUUAGUCUAAGUCAAAAGUAACUAUAAUUAAUUCCAACUCAAUAUACAAACAAUAUUAUAUAUAUUAUGUAAAAAAGGGAAAUCAACAUAAUAAGUUCCAUAUGAACUUACCUGACUAAAAUAACAACGAACGAGAUGUCGAGGACUAAUCGUAAUUUUGUUUUUUCCUCAAAUAUCCUUUGACUAGUUUAAUUUUUGAUCUAUAUAAUCAUUCAUUUUAAUUUAUCAAUGUCAAACAUUUAAAUGAAAAUCCAUGAUAUGCAUGAACCUAUUUAAUUUCAUUUUUACAAAACUCCUAAAAUUUUACACUUUAUUCAAUUUAGUCCCUGAAAUCAAAAUUAUCAUAACUUACACAUUUGAGCUUCAUUUUACAAUUUGAUUUCAAUUACGACCUUAUACUACUCUCCACUCUCUAUUUUUAUCAAAAUCUCAUGGUAGUUUUGUAACUUAUUCAGUUUAGCCUUAUGUUAAAAAAUUAACACUUAAACUUUACAAACUAGUCAUUUUUUUCAUUUCUAAGCUUAAAAACUAAUAUUUUAACACCAAAACUUCAAGAAUUCAUUAAUGGAAACAUUUUGAAACUUUAAAAGUUUUGAAAAAUAAAACAUGGAUUAGCUAAAUUGAGCUAUCACGAUCUCAAAAACACAAAAUUUAUGAAAAAUGACUUCAAACGACUUACCAUGAGAGGAUGAGAAGCUUGGCCGAAUGAUGAAGCUUCCAAAAAUGGUUUAUCGGGUGUGUUUGUUUGAAAUUUCAGUGGAAGUAAAUUAAAGGUGGGUUUGGAUAGGCGGUACGUUUACCUGUGGUUAGUGUAAACAGCGGUGGCAGUGAUAUUAGAUAGUGUAGCGAUGCUGUAGUGUGAGACAAAAAGUAAACUAAACGCACUGAACUACACCUAAUCGCCCAUCCAAACCCAUCCUGAAUGGAUGAUGAUGCAAUUUUUGUUUUUAUUUUUAUUUUUAUUAUUAACAUAUAAUAAUAGUUUAAUUAAUAUUUUAACCCAUAAUUCUCUUAAUAAAAAGCAGUUAACCUUCCACCGCUUUUAAAAAUGCUCUAACUGCCAUUGAAACUUUAGUUUAAUUGCUAAAUAGGUUUUUUAAUAAAUAAAAAUCUAUAACAAUUAACUUUUACCACUUUUACAAUUUAAUUCUUGUAUCUUAAUUAACUAUUCGUUCAAUAAAAUUACUAGACCGAAAUUUAAUAUAGUAUUAUAAUAUACUCACAAAUAUUAAAUAAUAAUAUUUACAAACUCGAUCAUUAAAAAAUAGGAUUCCAAAAUCACCGUUUCUGGUACCACUAAAAAAAUGGGCUAUUACAAUUAAAUUCAAGAUAGGUGGCAGAAUAGAAUUGUGAUGUGGCAUUAAUGAUGACAUAAUUUAAAAAAUAUAUUAAAAAUCUAAAAAAAAUUAAAAACCAUAACUUUUAUCGACACUUGAAUACAUAUAUUGGAUUCCAACUUAAUUAGCAAACAAAGAUAUGUCAAAAUUCACCCUUCCAACUCUUCCAAACAACCACAACUCAAUAAAGUUAAAUUACUACAUAAAGUAACUAGGUGAACUACAACACCAUGAACACCAUAAGCCAAGUUUCCAAGUUCUUAUCAUGACGUAGAUCAUUCAUUUACUAACUUUUAGUACCUAUAUCUCAAAUAUAUACAAAUCUCAUAAAUAAAUAAAAAACUCAUAUAUUAAAAAACAACUAACAAUCUGAAAUGUAAUAAACUUCAUAAUCAAAAUCAUGGAUUUCAGUCAUAGUUAAUCAUAAACACGAAAUUACUGUUUACUCAUAUCAUGAAAAAUCCCCAUUUGAGGAUACAUACAGAUAUUUGGAAAAAAAAAAAAAAAACCUCACCAUUUAGGUGCCUCUCGACUUGAGUCAUAUCUUUAAAAAAUUUAGAUACGAAAAUUUCAUAAAAAAAAAUCUUAAAAUCUAUAGAGGAAGUAACCUUCGACAUUGAGGAGGACUGCAAUUUCGAGAGCUACCGCUACGAGAAAGAGAGGAAGAAGAGAAAGAUCUGGAGCAAGAAUGAGAGCUAGACGAGGAAGCAAAUCUAGAGUAGGACACGGAGUGAGAGCGAGAAUUGGACUUAGAGUUUGAACCGGAAUAAGAGUAGGAACAAGACCUAGACCGUAAACAAGAACAGGAAGAGGAACCGGAGUUGGAGACAAAACGAGAACGACGACCUCUCAGCUAGAUUCAUAUCUUUAAAAAAUUAAGAUAUGAAAAUUUCAUUAAAAAAUCUUAAAAUCUACAGAGGAAGUAACCUUUGAUGUUAAGGAUUACGAUUUCGAGAGUUACCGCUACUAGAAGGAGAGGAAGAGGAGAAAGAUCUGGAGCGAGAACGAGAGCUAGACGGGGAAGUAGAUCUGGAGCGGGACACAAAGCGAGAGCGAGAAUUGGAUUUGGAUUUGGAGUCUGAAUCGAAAUAAGAGCGAGAGCUAGACCUAGACUGUGAACAAGAACAGGAAAAGGAACCAGAGUUGGAGACAAAACGAGAACGACGAUCUCUUGUUGGCUUUACGAUUUGCAGAAUACAAAGAGAGGAAUAGUAGAGAUAAGAAACCAUUUUUUUUUAUAUUUUUAUCUUUUGAAAAUGUUUUUAUUGAUUUUUAAUAUUUUUUAGAUUAUGACAUCAUCGUGAUGUUUGAAGGGCG
RNAcentral lists this long non-coding RNA (3335 nucleotides) under Gossypium barbadense (sea-island cotton). RNAcentral describes it as "long non-coding RNA (GBAR_LNC010412)". Lineage: Eukaryota; Viridiplantae; Streptophyta; Magnoliopsida; Malvales; Malvaceae. The record is from RNAcentral.